UUGAUCUCUAAAUCUCCUUGAAUCCUUCAAAUUCUUUUCAACUUCAAUGGCUUUGUGGCUUGAGUUUUAGCUUUCAAUCUAGUGUUUCGUUAUCUCCUAAAAGUCCUCUGAAAGGUUAUUUUUAUAAGGCUUUGAAGUUAGGCCAAUUUAGGUGAAGAAAGGAGUAAAUUCCAAUUAGGAUUUCCCCAUCAGACUACGUGAACCACAGUCUCGACCAAUUAAUUAGUGGAAAUCAUAAUUGUUCUAGGACAACUAUAGUACUUCACUUUCAAAAAGAUUUUUGACCAUCUUUCUGGCCGAACUGGAUAAAGUGGUAAACAUGAAAGUUGUAUAUUUUUCUCUCACAUUUCUACUGGUUCAAGAAUAAUCUCAUUUGGAGUUUUUUAGAGAGAGUUAUGAUCAAGAUACCACAACCUAUGCAGUGGAAGUUUGCACCUCAAAAUUGCUCUGCUUCUUCCAUUAAAAUUUUUCCUUCAUUAAACAUCUGUAAAAGCACAAAUAAAUCAAUAAUAGCCUAUCUUAAUCACAUUAACACUAAAUUAAGCAUAAAAUUAAUUAAGAUUACAUCGACUCACCUAAAUUAACUAAUUUGAAUUUAUUUAAAUGAAACCUACUAAUUUCUAUGCAUUACUUACAAGAACCAAGCUAAAAUACCAUUAAAACUAAGUCCAAAUAACUUUAUAUAAGAGAGUUAUCAAUAUAUUUGUGAAUCUAUCGAUAGAUGGCCAAAUGAGAAAGAACAGAAACAGGGCUAGGGCACAAUCUAUCGAUAGAUUCGAGGAAUCCAUUGAUAGAUGAAAGUCAAUGGCUACAUAAUUUAGUGCCAUCUCUCAAUGCAUUAGUUUGGAAACGUAAAAAUAAAAAGGGGUUUAUGGGCCAUUUGAGUUAUUUUCACCAAAAACUCUCAUUCUGUCAUGACCCGGCACUCUGCUUGAGCCCGUGACAACCGCUGCUAUGUCCCGAUAGACAUUCAUUACCCGAAAUGCCAUCCGAAACCUGGCAAGGCUUUAAUAUCAGUUUUCUCACCUCCAUUGUGAGCAAUAGUUGCUAAUAUCAUAUUUUAAAAGAUCAUAAGCUAUUUCCAAACCAAAACAAUAAAAAAAUAAUUUUCAUCUCUCGGGGGUAUUUUGGUCAUUUUUCCCCAAAAAUUUUGAAACCAACUAAUAAUGUAGUAUGCGAGUGCAAAACACAUAUUUCAUAAUAAAAAAUAAGUUUAGAUGUCUAAAACAUUCAUUUAAAGUGAAAUUACGACUAUUUGAAUAUAAUAAAAAUAUUCAAUAAAAUAUUCUAUUUUCUUAUAAAAUAAUUUUUAUAGAGUUAUCUGUAAGGAAUUUUUGUAGCGUAAAAGUAAAAUAAAUUCAUACAUACUGUAAUACAGAUAGUCAAGGCAUGUAAUUUAAUUUACAAUGACACGUGGGCCCCCAAAUGACAAAAGUGAACGAAGGUUGUGAACCUACGAUUUUUGAGGAAGUAAAGCCAACUGUAGCCUUCAACGAUAUCAAUUAUCUACAAACUAUCCUGAGCCUGAAAUGGGUGGAAAGGAGGGUGGUGAGAUUAUAUAAUCCCAGUGAGUAAACAAAUAUCAUCUAAAAUAUCUAAAGUUGAGUAAAUGGAGAUGAUUAAAAUAGAUCAUCAUAAAAUGGUUCAUAACAUCAAAACACAUUUCAAAUCAUCUCAGCUAGUUACAUUUCAUCCAAAAUAUACAACGAGGCUUAUGAAUCUCUUAAAAACUUGGCUCGUACCAAAACUCAUUCUCGGGGAUACCUUGGUUGAGGCAUCUAAUCGAGUCCACCAAGGUUGUUAAAAAGUCAUAUACGCACAAAACACAUUUUUACAUUUAAAAUCACGGCCGUUCCUUGUCGUUGGCUGAAUUCACUUUCACGUGGUGGUUCGGCGUGAAGUGAACUCUAAACUUUACCCCAGGAGAUACCCUACACGCCUCUUUGAUCGAGGUAAGAAUAUAACUAGAUUCCAUGCCCCUCUAAUAGGCUGGCCCACAGAACCCGUCACUGUAGUGACCAAUCUAUAACCCACCAAUUCAAUAAAAAUUCAACAGCAUGACAUGAUAAUUUUAUCAUUAUCCAGCCUAUCAAGGCAAACAAUAGUUUAUACAUUUUCAACACAAAUACCUAUCCAGCCAUUCAUGCCCACAUUAUCAUAAGCCAUUCAAUUCAAAACAUAAUUUACAAUACAGCAAGUAAUCUCCAAUUACUCCAUUUUCAAGUCAUCAUUAAGUUUCAAAACAAUUUAUAAAAUCAUUUCAUUUAAACACAUUUUCCAUAAAAUUACAAAAUCAGAUAAAAACAUACUUUAGAUAAUUAAGACGAUAAUAAGGUUACUCACAAUAUCGAGAGUCAAAGUACUCCUAGUUUUGGUCUUCGGGUACAACUUCUUUGCCCUUAUCGAAGGAUUCACCACCUACACAUAAUGCAUAAUCAAGCAAUUUACUACAUUGGUGCUAAACCGUUAUAAAACUAAUCUAGGCUCUAUAUAAAUGCAUGAAAUGGAAUGUGAAUUGUUCGGAUCAUCGUCUAAACACGGUGUUUUACAUAAAUUCAAUUGUGUACCUAAAUAAAACGGUAUUAGCCUAAUUCGAUCUAUCACCUGAUUAAUUGGUCAAUAUGUCCAAUUUAACUUCAAAUAACUCCAUUUCUCUCCUAAUACUCCAAAUCAUCAAACUCAAGUCAAGUAACAUAAAAUUUAGCAAGAUCAUUUUCACAUUUCUUCUUGGGAAUUUCGGCCAUGGUGGGUGCAUGAACACUAUGGUUUUUCCCACUUGAUUUUUACACCAUAAUUCAUUAAUUCCUAAUCAAAUCACUUGAAAUAAAAUCAAGUCCACCAUCAAUAAAUCAUAGGGAAGAUUCGGCCAAUGGAGGGUGAUGGAAGAAAAAUGUAUUUUUCUUGUUUUCUUUUCAUGCUACACAUCACUAACUAACUAAAAACACUAAAAUAUAUUAAAAUCUAACGAAAUCCAAGUUCAAAACUCCUCCCCCCAUGUCCGGCCAGCAAAGGUAUCCUCAUGCAAACUUGAUUCUCAACCAUGGAAAAUGAAAAAGAAUGCAUAGGAAAGGUAGAUCACAAGCUAGAAUUGAAAAAUCUUACCUUUUGUCACUUGAUUCUUUAAAAUUUUGUGAAUUUCUCUUGAAUUUCUUAGCUAGGUUUUUGUUAUUCUUCUUUUCUUCCCUUUUCUUCCUUUGGC
Molecule: long non-coding RNA, 3199 nt
Filed under: Theobroma cacao (cacao)
Lineage: Eukaryota; Viridiplantae; Streptophyta; Magnoliopsida; Malvales; Malvaceae
Description: long non-coding RNA (TCAC_LNC001972)
Source: RNAcentral